UACGGGGGGGGCAAGCGUUGUUCGGAAUUACUGGGCGUAAAGGGCUCGUAGGCGGCCAACUAAGUCAGACGUGAAAUCCCCAGGCUCAACCUGGGAACUGCGUCUGAUACUGGAUGGCUUGAGUUUGGGAGAGGGAUGCGGAAUUCCAGGUGUAGCGGUGAAAUGCGUAGAUAUCUGGAGGAACACCGGUGGCGAAGGCGGCAUCCUGGACCAACACUGACGCUGAGGAGCGAAAGCCAGGGGAGCAAACGGG
This 253-nucleotide ribosomal RNA is filed under the name uncultured bacterium. Its description in RNAcentral is "partial 16S ribosomal RNA". It matches the Rfam family "Bacterial small subunit ribosomal RNA", at positions 524 to 776 of the family's 1533-position model. The record is from RNAcentral.